RNAcentral lists this ribosomal RNA (489 nucleotides) under uncultured bacterium. RNAcentral's name for it is "bacterial SSU rRNA". It matches the Rfam family "Bacterial small subunit ribosomal RNA", at positions 21 to 507 of the family's 1533-position model. The record is from RNAcentral.
GGCUCAGGAUGAACGCUGGCGGCGUGCUUUAACACAUGCAAGUCGAACGAAGCAUUUAAGACAGAUUUCUUCGGAAUGAAGUUUUUUAUGACUGAGUGGCGGACGGGUGAGUAACGCGUGGGUAACCUGCCUUAUACAGGGGGAUAACAGUUGGAAACGACUGCUAAUACCGCAUAAGCGCACGGUAUCGCAUGAUACAGUGUGAAAAACUCCGGUGGUAUAAGAUGGACCCGCGUCUGAUUAGCUUGUUGGUGAGGUAACGGCCCACCAAGGCGACGAUCAGUAGCCGGCCUGAGAGGGUGAACGGCCACAUUGGGACUGAGACACGGCCCAGACUCCUACGGGAGGCAGCAGUGGGGAAUAUUGCACAAUGGAGGAAACUCUGAUGCAGCGACGCCGCGUGAGCGAAGAAGUAUUUCGGUAUGUAAAGCUCUGUCAGCAGGGAAGAUAAUGACGGUACCUGACCAAGAAGCCCCGGCUAACUACGUG